This 427-nucleotide long non-coding RNA is filed under the name Pan troglodytes (chimpanzee). RNAcentral's name for it is "long non-coding RNA NONPTRT012491". The record is from RNAcentral. Lineage: Eukaryota; Metazoa; Chordata; Mammalia; Primates; Hominidae.
GGCCUGGGCGGUUUUUAGUUUUUAAGCUCCCCAGUGAAUUUAAAGUUUAGCUAGGAUUGAAAAAUGCUGUGAUGGAUAAUGGAUUGUGGGCACUUUUGAAUGUCAGGUUCUAAAUGUGUGUAUAGGGCAGUGGGUCUCAGGGUAUAGGCCCUAGACCAAUAGCCUCAGCAUCUUCUGAAACUUGUUAGAAUUGUAUUAAUGGAAUCUACCAACCUACUAAUUCAAAAACUCUGGAGGGUGGGGUCAGCAAUCUUUUUUCACAAGCCUUCCAUGGGAUUCUGAUGUGUGCUAAAGUUUAAGAACCACUCACAUAGAAGGGGGAAUCCCACUGGACAAGUACAGAAUCAGAGACAUCUCAUUAGCAACAGCAGUGACUGAAGACAGAGUCUGUUUAUUCUUGAUCUAUAGUUCUGUUUUAUUCUCGCUU